UGGGGAAUUUUGGACAAUGGGCGAAAGCCUGAUCCAGCAAUGCCGCGUGUGUGAAGAAGGCCUUCGGGUUGUAAAGCACUUUUGUCCGGAAAGAAAUCCUUGGCUCUAAUACAGUCGGGGGAUGACGGUACCGGAAGAAUAAGCACCGGCUAACUACGUGCCAGCAGCCGCGGUAAUACGUAGGGUGCAAGCGUUAAUCGGAAUUACUGGGCGUAAAGCGUGCGCAGGCGGUUUGCUAAGACCGAUGUGAAAUCCCCGGGCUCAACCUGGGAACUGCAUUGGUGACUGGCAGGCUAGAGUAUGGCAGAGGGGGGUAGAAUUCCACGUGUAGCAGUGAAAUGCGUAGAGAUGUGGAGGAAUACCGAUGGCGAAGGCAGCCCCCUGGGCCAAUACUGACGCUCAUGCACGAAAGCGUGGGGAGCAAACAGGAUUAGAUACCCUGGUAGUCCACGCCCUAAACGAUGUCAACUAGUUGUUGGGGAUUCAUUUCCUUAGUAACGUAGCUAACGCGUGAAGUUGACCGCCUGGGGAGUACGGUCGCAAGAUUAAAACUCAAAGGAAUUGACGGGGUC
This 572-nucleotide ribosomal RNA is filed under the name uncultured bacterium. Its description in RNAcentral is "partial 16S ribosomal RNA". It matches the Rfam family "Bacterial small subunit ribosomal RNA", at positions 355 to 920 of the family's 1533-position model. The record is from RNAcentral.